Molecule: ribosomal RNA, 124 nt
Filed under: Clostridioides difficile
Lineage: Bacteria; Bacillati; Bacillota; Clostridia; Peptostreptococcales; Peptostreptococcaceae
Description: partial 16S ribosomal RNA
Rfam family: Bacterial small subunit ribosomal RNA
Source: RNAcentral
UUUUAUUUGAGAGUUUGAUCCUGGCUCAGGAUGAACGCUGGCGGCGGGCCUAACACAUGCAAGUUGAGCGAUUUACUUCGGUAAAGAGCGGCGGACGGGUGAGUAACGCGUGGGUAACCUACCC